RNAcentral lists this ribosomal RNA (923 nucleotides) under Spicara flexuosa (blotched picarel). RNAcentral describes it as "partial 16S ribosomal RNA". It matches the Rfam family "Bacterial large subunit ribosomal RNA", at positions 1215 to 2620 of the family's 2925-position model. Lineage: Eukaryota; Metazoa; Chordata; Actinopteri; Spariformes; Centracanthidae. The record is from RNAcentral.
UAAACCUUCCAUCGAUCCCGAUAACACAAUCUCACCCCCCUUUCAAUAUCAAACUAUCCACUGCACACAGUGGAGAAAUAAUGCUAAUAUGAGUAAUAAGAGAAAAAAGAUUCUCUCCCUGCACAAGUGUAAUUCGGAGCGGACUAACCACCGAACCUUAACGUCCCCAAACAAAGAGGGAAAUAGAUUACAAGUUAAUUAACUAGAAAAACAUCCAAAACAAACCCGUUAACCCCACACUGGUGUGCUGCAUGGGAAAGACUAAAAGGAGAGGAAGGAACUCGGCAAACACUUAAAGCCUCGCCUGUUUACCAAAAACAUCGCCUCUUGCAAGACCAAUGAAUAAGAGGUCCCGCCUGCCCUGUGACUAUAUGUUUAACGGCCGCGGUAUUUUGACCGUGCGAAGGUAGCGCAAUCACUUGUCUUUUAAAUGGAGACCCGUAUGAAUGGCUCCACGAGGGCUUAGCUGUCUCCCCCUCCCAGUCAAUGAAAUUGAUCUCCCCGUGCAGAAGCGGGGAUAAUAACAUAAGACGAGAAGACCCUAUGGAGCUUAAGGCGCCAGGGCAGCUCACGUUAAACACCCCUAGUUAAAGGAAUGAACCAAGUGAACCCUGCCCCAGUGUUUUUGGUUGGGGCGACCGCGGGGAAAUACAAAACCCCCUUGUGGACCAGGAACACUACAUGUUCCCAAACCCGAGAGCUACCGCUCUAAUAAACAGAACUUCUGACCAGCUAAGAUCCGGCAGUGCCGAUCAACGGAACGAGUUACCCUAGGGAUAACAGCGCAAUCCUCUUAAAGAGUCCUUAUCGACAAGGGGGUUUACGACCUCGAUGUUGGAUCAGGACAUCCUAAUGGUGCAGCCGCUAUUAAGGGUUCGUUUGUUCAACGAUUAAAGUCCUACGUGAUCUGAGUUCAGACCGGA